GAUGAACGCUAGCGGCAGGCCUAAUACAUGCAAGUCGGACGGGAUUCAGGAGCUUGCUUCUGAUGAGAGUGGCGCACGGGUGCGUAACACGUAUGUAACCUACCUUUAUCAGGGGGAUAGCCUCUCGAAAGAGAGAUUAAGCCCGCAUAAACUCACAGCACAGCAUUGUGUAAUGAUCAAAUAUUUAUAGGAUAAAGAUGGGCAUGCGGAACAUUAGCUAGAUGGCGGGGUAACGGCCCACCAUGGCGACGAUGUUUAGGGGAUCUGAGAGGAUGGCCCCCCACACUGGUACUGAGACACGGACCAGACUCCUACGGGAGGCAGCAGUAAGGAAUAUUGGGCAAGGGGCGGAAGCCUGAACCAGCCAUGCCGCGUGCAGGAAGACGGCCGUACGGGUUGUAAACUGCUGUUAUACGGGAAUAAACCCAGAUACGUGUAUCUGGCUGAAUGUACUGUAAGAAUAAGGAUCGGCUAACUCCGUG
This 482-nucleotide ribosomal RNA is filed under the name uncultured bacterium. Its description in RNAcentral is "partial 16S ribosomal RNA". It matches the Rfam family "Bacterial small subunit ribosomal RNA", at positions 28 to 507 of the family's 1533-position model. The record is from RNAcentral.